UACGUAGGAUGCAAGCGUUGUCCGGAUUUAUUGGGUUUAAAGGGUGCGUAGGCGGCCUAUUAAGUUAGUGGUGAAAACGUUCGGCUUAACCGGAUACCCGCCAUUGAUACUGAUAGACUUGAGUGCGACAGAGGGUGUUGGAAUGCGUGGUGUAGCGGUGAAAUGCUUAGAUAUCACGCAGAACACCAAUUGCGAAGGCAGAUGCCUAUGUCGUAACUGACGCUGAGGAACGAAAGCGUGGGGGGCAAACAGG
This 253-nucleotide ribosomal RNA is filed under the name uncultured bacterium. RNAcentral's name for it is "partial 16S ribosomal RNA". It matches the Rfam family "Bacterial small subunit ribosomal RNA", at positions 524 to 776 of the family's 1533-position model. The record is from RNAcentral.